This 449-nucleotide ribosomal RNA is filed under the name uncultured bacterium. RNAcentral describes it as "bacterial SSU rRNA". It matches the Rfam family "Bacterial small subunit ribosomal RNA", at positions 331 to 794 of the family's 1533-position model. The record is from RNAcentral.
CCAGACUCCUACGGGAGGCAGCAGUGGGGAAUAUUGGGCAAUGGGCGCAAGCCUGACCCAGCAACGCCGCGUGAAGGAAGAAGGCUUUCGGGUUGUAAACUUCUCUUCUCAGGGACGAAGAAAGUGACGGUACCUGAGGAAUAAGCCACGGCUAACUACGUGCCAGCAGCCGCGGUAAUACGUAGGUGGCAAGCGUUAUCCGGAUUUAUUGGGUGUAAAGGGCGUGUAGGCGGGAGCGCAAGUCAGAUGUGAAAACUCAGGGCUCAACCCUGAGCCUGCAUUUGAAACUGUGUUUCUUGAGUGCUGGAGAGGCAAUCGGAAUUCCGUGUGUAGCGGUGAAAUGCGUAGAUAUACGGAGGAACACCAGUGGCGAAGGCGGAUUGCUGGACCGUGACUGACGUUGAGGCUCGAGAGCGUGGGGAGCAAACAGGAUUAGAUACCCGUGUAAC